CGAACGCUGGCGGCGUGCUUAACACAUGCAAGUCGCCCGGCAAGGCCCUGCUUUUGUGGGGUGCUCGAGUGGCGAACGGGUGAGUAACACGUGAGUAACCUGCCCUUGACUUUGGGAUAACUUCAGGAAACUGGGGCUAAUACCGGAUAGGAGCUCCUGCUGCAUGGUGGGGGUUGGAAAGUUUCGGCGGUUGGGGAUGGACUCGCGGCUUAUCAGCUUGUUGGUGGGGUAGUGGCUUACCAAGGCUUUGACGGGUAGCCGGCCUGAGAGGGUGACCGGCCACAUUGGGACUGAGAUGCGGCCCAGACUCCUACGGGAGGCAGCAGUGGGGAAUAUUGCACAAUGGGCGGAAGCCUGAUGCAGCAACGCCGCGUGCGGGAUGACGGCCUUCGGGUUGUAAACCGCUUUCGCCUGUGACGAAGCGUGAGUGACGGUAAUGGGUAAAGAAGCACCGGCUAACUACGUG
This 466-nucleotide ribosomal RNA is filed under the name uncultured bacterium. Its description in RNAcentral is "partial 16S ribosomal RNA". It matches the Rfam family "Bacterial small subunit ribosomal RNA", at positions 30 to 507 of the family's 1533-position model. The record is from RNAcentral.